CGCGGCCUAUCAGCUUGUUGGUGAGGUAAUGGCUCGCCAAGGCGAGGACGGGUAGCCGGCCUGAGAGGGCGACCGGCCACACUGGGACUGAGACACGGCCCAGACUCCUACGGGAGGCAGCAGUGGGGAAUAUUGCACAAUGGGCGGAAGCCUGAUGCAGCGACGCCGCGUGAGGGAUGACGGCCUUCGGGUUGUAAACCUCUUUCAGCAGGGACGAAGCGUAAGUGACGGUACCUGCAGAAGAAGCGCCGGCCAACUACGUGCCAGCAGCCGCGGUAAGACGUAGGGCGCGAGCGUUGUCCGGAUUUAUUGGGCGUAAAGAGCUCGUAGGCGGCUUGUCGCGUCGAAUGUGAAAACUUGGGGCUCAACUCCAAGCUUGCAUUCGAUACGGGCAGGCUAGAGUUCGGUAGGGGAGACUGGAAUUCCUGGUGUAGCGGUGAAAUGCGCAGAUAUCAGGAGGAACACCGGUGGCGAAGGCGGGUCUCUGGGCCGAUACUGACGCUGAGGAGCGAAAGCGUGGGGAGCGAACAGGAUUAGAUACCCUGGUAGUCCACGCUGUAAACGUUGGGCGCUAGGUGUGGGGGGCCUCUCCGGUUCCCUGUGCCGCAGCUAACGCAUUAAGCGCCCCGCCUGGGGAGUACGC
Molecule: ribosomal RNA, 643 nt
Filed under: uncultured bacterium
Lineage: Bacteria
Description: bacterial SSU rRNA
Rfam family: Bacterial small subunit ribosomal RNA
Source: RNAcentral